This is a long non-coding RNA of Alexandromys fortis (reed vole), 1888 nucleotides long. RefSeq lists it as uncharacterized. The record is from RefSeq and is a predicted model, not a curated record. Lineage: Eukaryota; Metazoa; Chordata; Mammalia; Rodentia; Cricetidae. The transcript has 6 exons.
GUAUGAUGGAGGUGGUUUCUCACUUGAAGUUUCCUCAUCCCAGAUGACCCUGGCUCCUGUCAAGUUGACAGAAACCUAACCAGCCCAAGUGGUCAGGGAGCUAAGAGGAAAUGGGGUGAAGGCCAGAGCAUGGUGGAGCAUGAGCAUCAACUCCGUCUCUUUCUCCACUGUGCCUGGGACCCUUUUUUCUUGGGCUGCAACAUGUGGCCCUAGACCCUUCCUCACACUAAAGGUGUCCAUGAAGAGUCGUUCACCUAAGGCCAGCUGAGUCUUCUAGUGUGGUGUGAAGGUCCCCAGGAAGCUUCCAGGCCUUCUGUGCCAGAUGAUGACCACCGAGACAUCCAACCUCUCCAGUGUGCUGGGAGCCACAGUGGAAUGACUCAGCCCACACUGUGUCAUUUAGGGAGAAGACAUUGGUCUGAUUCUCUAAGUAAAAGAAGACGAAAACUUAAUCAAAUGCUCAGAUGAAAUCCAGUCUCUAAAACGAUGCGUAGAGUUUGAAGAGGACAAAUCUGCAUGGAUCUGAGAACUGGACUUGAGGCUGAGCGGUACCAGUGUGGGCCCCCUGGACUCAUAUCAAGCUGCGUGUCUCACAGUAAACCUUUUAGUAUGACUGUCCCAUUAUGUCAAGCUUUCCUCCCAAAGUCUAUAUUGGGAAAGGAUUUCACCUUUAAAGCAACACAUAGCAUGGGAGAUGUUUUGUUAGAAAGUUGUUCUUCAUUUUGUCUAUUCCUCCACCCUAUUCCGAGUUUGAAAUCCCGGGACAAUGCAGUUCUGAUUGCCCUGCCCAGGACAGCGAAUUCACAGCUAAUUAUAACCCAGACUCACAGGACAUUUGAACGAAAAGGCCAGUGCUAGUCUUUGUGGUUUUAAGAACGGCUUGGUAUUUCUUUAAAAAAAUACAGCUUUCAGGGUGGCUCAGACCUGCCAGCUCUCAGGAUCCUUGCUGAUUACGCCGGGAGAAAGGCCACACAGAGAGCGAGGUUCUGAGUUGAUUUCUUUCCUUAUAAUUACUCUUACACAUGGAGCCUCUUCAGUGUCACCAUGACACCAGCGGCAUCUUCUCACCCAUUGGGUCUGAUGUGGAGCCUGACAGACAGCUAGGACACGGUGCCCUGACUCUACGGACUCAGGUUUCAGUGUUGCUGUUCCUCAAACCUGCGUAGGGACCUGGAGGAGCCCUGUGUCACAGCAACUUCAGAUCGCUGUUCCUGGAUCUACCCCUCCCCAUCCACCCAAAGAGACUAAUUUGUGACACCAAACUAUUGUUGAUGGAAUUAAAAAAGCCACAAGUGAGGAAGAAUUGAAGCCUUUGGGGUCAAGGACAACCACAUGAAAGUCACAGAACCAACUAAUCUGGGCUCAUCCAGGCUCACAGAGACUGAACUGACAACCAGGGAGCCUGCAUGGGACUGACCUAGGCCCUCUGCGUAUAUAUUACAAUUGUGUAACUUGGUCUUCUUGUGACCUAACAGUGGGAACAAGGGCUGCUCUGACUCUAUUUCCUGCUUCUGGGAGUCUCUUUUCAGAAGAGAAACAGAGGAGGAGGAAGGAGGGAAGGAGGGGAAAUCUUGGUCAGGACAUAAAAACGAACAAAAAAUAAGUAAACAAACAAACAAACAAAAAGUUUUUUUAAAAAAAUUCCCUCCCUGAUUUCUUCAGUAUCCAUUUGUCACUUAGGAGUGCGCUGCUCAGUCUCUGUAUUUGUGUAUUUCUCUUGCUAUUGCUCUUGAGUUUUGUUCCACAAUGAUCUGGUAAGACAACAAUUAUUUGUGAGUGGAAGGGGAGUGGGGAAAAAUGUAUAGCACUUUCCUAUCCAAACAAUUAGAAUGAGAAGGAUUUAAUUUAAAAGAAAAAAAAAAGAAGAAGAACUUCAGAUAAGGCUUGA